This is an RNA transcript of Solanum tuberosum (potato), 4622 nucleotides long. It is a transcript of the gene named splicing regulatory glutamine/lysine-rich protein 1, with no coding region annotated. Lineage: Eukaryota; Viridiplantae; Streptophyta; Magnoliopsida; Solanales; Solanaceae. The record is from RefSeq and is a predicted model, not a curated record. The transcript is spliced from 5 exons.
UUUCUCUUCGGUCUUGCCCUUCAACAGAUCCCUCGACCAAAAUUAGGGUUAGCAUAUUUUGUAGCUACAGUUACAUGGCUGAUCGGAACAAUUCAUCGGCGAUUACAGUGACGGCAGCGGUGAAGCCGAUAUGGGCGAAGCAAGCAGAAGAAGCGAAGCUUAAGAGCGAAGCAGAGAAAGAUGCGGCUGCGAAAGCUGCUUUCGAUGCUACGUUUAAGAACGUCGAAGCUUCAGUCACUGCAGCCGCAGCCGCAUCCGACAGUGACUUAGACGAUGAGGAAUAUGAGCAGAAGAGGCUUGCGGAGAAGCCGAUCGGUCCGGUUGACCCUAUAAAAUGUACGGCCGCUGGCACUGGAAUCGCCGGUGGAACAGCGUGUGCUCCGUCAACUUUCACCGUUGUGACGAAGGAUUCUGAUGGUCGUAAGGUACCACAUGGUGGGGCGACCGUUAAGAUUAGAGUUUCACCUGGUGUUGGAGUUGGAGGAUCAGAUUUGGAAGGAAUUGUGAAGGAUAUGGGUGAUGGGACAUACACAGUGAGUUAUAUUGUUCAGAAGAGAGGAAAUUAUAUGGUGAAUGUUGAAUGUAAUGGAAAGCCUAUCAUGGGUAGUCCUUUCCCUGUUUUCUUCAGCACAGGCAGUACGACUGGUGGGCUAUUGGGUAUAGUACCGUCAACCACAUUUCCAAAUAUGGUCAACCAGAACAUGCCUAAUAUGCCAAACUAUUCUGGUUCUGUAUCUGGGGCAGUCCCAGGAUUGCUUGGGAUGAUACCAGGUAUUGUUCCUGGAGCUUCUGGAGGUGUAGUUUUACCUGGAAUUGGAGCAUCUAUUGGGGAAGUUUGCCGAGAGUACCUUUAUGGACGAUGUGCAAAAACUGAUUGCAAAUUCAAUCACCCCCCUCACAAUCUUCUAAUGACUGCUCUAGCUGCAACCACCAGUAUGGGAACACUUAGUCAAGUGCCCAUGGCACCUUCUGCGGCUGCUAUGGCUGCUGCUCAGGCAAUUGUUGCUGCACAAGCUCUUCAAGCGCAUGCUGCUCAGGCACAAGCACAGUCUGGAAAAGAUUCGUCUGGUGACAAAGAUAGAAAGGCCGAAUCCCUUAAAAGAACUUUGCAAGUCAGCAAUCUCAGCCCACUUCUGACAGUGGAUCAGUUGAAACAGCUGUUUGGUUUCUGUGGUGCAAUCAUUGAUUGUAGCAUUACUGAAUCCAAACAUUUUGCUUACAUCGAAUACUCAAAACCCGAAGAAGCAACUGCUGCUUUAGCAUUGAACAAUAUAGAAGUUGGUGGUCGCCCCUUAAAUGUUGAAAUGGCAAAACAACUUCCUCCAAAGGCAGCUGUCUUAAAUUCAUCAAUGGGCUCUUCUUCUUUGCCCUUGAUGAUGCAGCAAGCAGUAGCAAUGCAGCAGAUGCAGUUCCAGCAAGCCCUAUUAAUGCAGCAAGCUAUGACUGAACAACAAGCUGCUAAUCGAGCUGCAACCAUGAAAACUGCUACAGAUUUGGCUGCCGCAAGAGCUGCAGAAAUAAGCAAGAUGUUGAAAGCGAAUGGCCUGGUUUCUGAAGAUAAGGAAACUGAUGACAAAGCUAAGUCACCUUCUCCCAGUCGUGCUAGGUCAAGAUCCAGGUCGCCAUCCAAAUCUCGAUCCAGAUCAAGAUCUCCAAUAAGUUAUAGGCGAAGGCGGAGAUCCCGUUCUUUCUCUCCUCCACGGAGAUCAAGAGAUUAUAGAUCCAGGUCACCUGUGAGAUCCCGGCGCUAUUCAGGCUACGAAGAUGAAAGGCGGCCAUAUAGGGAUGUUAGAUAUGCUAAUGAAAGAAGUCGAAGACGGGAUUUUGUUAGAUUCUAUGAUCGUCGUUCUCCUGUUUCAAGGAGAAACAGAAGUAGAAGCACAAGUCCCCGAACUAGAAAAUCUUACCGUGACGAUUCAGGCUCACCAAAACACCGCCGAGAAAGUCCAGCACUUAAGACAAGUAGAGCUUCUCGCCAUGAGUCACUAUCGCCUGAACAUAGACGAAAAAGUAGGUCAUCCCCAAAAGAUGGUGAAAGAAAAUCAAAAUAUAGCAGGCGCUCGAGAUCAAAGUCUGCUGAAGUUAGGGACCAGUCUGAUGAUAAGCUAGAAGGAAGCAGGGGUGAGAAAUCCAGGCAGAAGGAUCAAAGAAGGUCAGCAUCACCACAGGUUGAUGAAGAUGCACAGAAGAAAAUGUCACCGGAAGUUGUGGAAGAAAGCAAGUCAAAGCAGAGAAGAACCUCCAGGUCCAGAUCUCCAGAAGAGAAGCAUCUUUCUAGCAGAAGCAGAGAAGAGAAAAGAAAGCAUCAUGCUAGAAGGCGCUCCAGGUCAAGGUCCAAAUCUCCUGAAGAGAAAGUUCACUCAAGUGAUAAAUUAGACAGAAAUAAAGGAGAUAAACCUAAGCAUCGAAGUAGAAGGCACUCAAAGUCAAGGUCCAGAUCUCCUGAAGAAAGACAUCAUUCAAGUGCUAAAUUGGAAAGGAGCAGAAAAGAGAAAUCAAAGAGUCGAAGUAAAAAGCGCUCCAGGUCAAGAUCUGUCGAUGAUAAGCAGCACGGAACUAAACAGUCAGCAAGCCGUUCUGAUAGCCGACGAUCAAAGCUCAGGGCACGUUCUAGAUCAAAUUCUUCUGAAAGUAGGCAUGGAUCAGGUCAAGAUGAAACCAUAAAGGAUGAAGUGAGAGGUCAUAGGGGUCACCAGAGAAGAUCUAGGCAGGAUGACCAUAAUCAUGGAACAACUGAGAUUAGCUUGAUGGAAGAAGAUCCUGCUAAGGGAAUGUAAACCAGUGACUGAUAGCUUCCAAUUCAAAGAGUUCUGAAUCUAUGGGUUAUGGCUUGUGAUACUCAAUUGUGUGAACAUUUUAUUUUACCAUUGCAGAAAACAUGAGAAGUUUUGAGGAAGCACGAUGUCCUGGAAGAUCGUGAUCCCAACACCUGAUGAUCAAGAAAGAUCUGUUAGACUGAAUUAAUUGCAGUUUGUAUGACGGAAAUGCCUAUUUUUGCUUCUUUUGCAGGUCCUUCAUGGAACAUAACCAGAAAGUGAAGUAGCAUUAGUUGAAAGGUUGAGUAUCAAGUUUGUGCCAUCUUGGAUCAACUCUGCUGAGUUUCUUGUGAACUACUUUUUGAGCUCAUGUCUUGGGACUGAUUCUUGUUGGCGCUUUAUCAAUUGAAUGGGCAAAGUUAUAUCUGAUUGUAUUUGAAGGUAUGCAAUUGAAAUUUUUGGUUGUUUGAAUGGGAGGGCAUUCACUGCUUUUGGAACAAUUAUUUUAAGAAUGCUGGCUGAAAAUUGUUGGGAUGAAGAAAUAUGUUAAAGUUUAAGGUUGUUAAUCUUCACAUAUUUUGCAUUGCUUCUUUCCUCAUCUUUUCUUCUCCUUUUUUCCAUCUUCUCCUUUUUUUCCCUUUUUUUCUUUCUUUUGUCUUUCUUCUUGAAAAUGUUUGGUUAGGCAGGCUGCUAUUAAGGUUAAUGUAACCAGAUGUUGCUGAGAUGAUAGUGCAUGAUGCUCCCUGAAUCGAGCAUGAAACAGAUACUCAUAUCUGUUCUUUAAUUGGUGGAACUCAAUUGUUCCAUAACAGGUAAAAUCUUGUUGAAUUCAUUAGCUUCUAGUUUUUAUCCUUGCAAACGGAGUAAUGGAGGACAUGAUGGUUAUUGCUCAACACCUCUAGUUCACACAAUUUUAGUUGCCGAAAUUGUCUAAUUGAUUAACAGGUGGUUUAUCUGGCCUCUUGCUUAUAUUUUAUUCGUCUAGUGUCCUCCGGGGUUACAGUAAUUAAAGUGAUUGGAACCUCUUGCAGUUACUUCAAAUAUUAGGAAAAAAUAUUGCACUUAAGAAAAACAAUAGGCAUUAAGAAAAUAGAAGCGUUAUUAAGACAUUUAUUUGGGGGAAAUGGUAUGUAUGAAAUCCACAUUUGCACUGUAUGCUGACACUUGUUUGUAGCAUGCUAUGACAUGUAAAAGCUACAUACAUUGUAUGAAAUAACCUUAUCUGAAGAAUUCCUUGAUCUGUAUCAUAUAUCUGAUUGUGGAAAUUCUCGCAUUACCCUUGUACUUUAUAUUGACUCCUAUGCUCUCAUGGUGGCCACCUUAUUGUCUUCUGAAGGCAUUCUUUGUUAACUGUCUGAAGAAUCUCUGCCUUCUUUUUUUUUUUUUUUUGGGUUUUCCGUUUUGUUUUUUCUAGGUGGUGCUGGAUGUAUGGGACUGAGAGCUGUAUCCUGUUGUCAAUCUAGAUGUGGUUGAUGUCACACUUAUAAUUUCCUUCCCUUCCCCCUUCCCCCUUUCUUUUUCAUUUACAUUCACGUUUACCCUUCCCUGUCUUUCAUCUCAGCUUCUCUCCCUUGCUUUCCUCUUUUUGUUUUUGGGGUGGUUGGAGGUUCUAUAAGGAGUAGUAUGACUAGCUAAAAGGCACAAGCAGCAAGGCGAGGAAGCAUUAAUUUUGGCUGGUGAUUUGACUAUAUGUAUUUUUGCUAGGAUGUUUUUGUUUGGACAAGGAUUAUAGCUCAAGAGUAGACACUUUGUUUAGGUGUGUAUGGCCAUCUAUGAAAUAAAAAUCAACAGAUAUUUUUCAGUAGUCUUAUUCCUUUGCAUGUUAAAGUUUCAAUACACCCACAUAAUGCUUAUCAUCCUUCUUUC